GUGGGGAAUUUUGGACAAUGGGCGCAAGCCUGAUCCAGCAAUGCCGCGUGCAGGAAGAAGGCCUUCGGGUUGUAAACUGCUUUUGUACGGAACGAAACGGUCCGGGUUAAUACCCUGGGCUAAUGACGGUACCGUAAGAAUAAGCACCGGCUAACUACGUGCCAGCAGCCGCGGUAAUACGUAGGGUGCAAGCGUUAAUCGGAAUUACUGGGCGUAAAGUGUGCGCAGGCGGUUUUGUAAGACAGGCGUGAAAUCCCCGGGCUCAACCUGGGAAGUGCGAUGGUGACUGCAAGGCUGGAGUGCGGCAGAGGGGGAUGGAAUUCCGCGUGUAGCAGUGAAAAUCGUAGAUAUGCGGAGGAACACCGAUGGCGAAGGCAAUCCCCUGGGCCUGCACUGACGCUCAUGCACGAAAGCGUGGGGAGCAAACAGGAUUAGAAACCCGGGUAGUCC
This 450-nucleotide ribosomal RNA is filed under the name uncultured bacterium. Its description in RNAcentral is "bacterial SSU rRNA". It matches the Rfam family "Bacterial small subunit ribosomal RNA", at positions 354 to 796 of the family's 1533-position model. The record is from RNAcentral.